AACGAACGCUGGCGGCAGGCCUAACACAUGCAAGUCGAACGCCCCGCAAGGGGAGUGGCAGACGGGUGAGUAACACGUGGGAACGUACCCUUCGGUUCGGGAUAACUCAGGGAAACUUGAGCUAAUACCGGAUACGUCCGAGAGGAGAAAGAUUUAUCGCCGAGGGAUCGGCCCGCGUCUGAUUAGCUUGUUGGUGAGGUAACGGCUCACCAAGGCGACGAUCAGUAGCUGGUCUGAGAGGAUGAUCAGCCACAUUGGGACUGAGACACGGCCCAAACUCCUACGGGAGGCAGCAGUGGGGAAUAUUGGACAAUGGGCGCAAGCCUGAUCCAGCAAUGCCGCGUGGAUGAAGAAGGUUUUCGGAUUGUAAAGUCCUUUCGGCGGGACGAUGAUGACGGUACCCGCAGAAGAAGCCCCGGCUAACUUCGUG
RNAcentral lists this ribosomal RNA (430 nucleotides) under uncultured bacterium. RNAcentral describes it as "bacterial SSU rRNA". It matches the Rfam family "Bacterial small subunit ribosomal RNA", at positions 29 to 507 of the family's 1533-position model. The record is from RNAcentral.